CCAGGCAGGAGAGCAGUGACUAUCAGCAGCAGCUCUUGAGACACCAGAUUCCGCGACAGCCAAACCAACCUGAGGAAGUGAUUCAGUCACACUGUGUGUGUGCAGGGGUGUAUGGUAUUGAGAUGGCCACUGUGUUUCUACUGUGACACGUGGUUGACACCUAGUUUAACAAUUACAGAGGCUGGAGAUGAGUUCAGUGGUACAGCAUUUUCCAGCACGCAGGAGGCAUAGGUGUGUUUCACACACACACAGUUAUGGAAGUGCCAUCUGUGGCAUAUAUCCCCAAAUGUGGAGUGCCGCGACCAGUACCAGAUGCAUCUAGGGUGUGGCCUAAACUGCUGAGGAGCUGUCAAAGCCGCAGUGACGACAGACAGAGAUGAUGACCCACAGCAGCUUUCCUGCUGGGCAGAGUCUUUCUCUGGCUCCCAGGCUGCAGAGGACUGUUCCUGACCAUGCUGCCCUUCUGGGUACUUGAGAGGAAAGGAGCCUGGGGAGCAGCGUGGAGCUACGGAAAAGAACAGACUCCGGAGUAUAACGAUGGUGAUGUUGACACUGAUACGGCCCAAGGGGACAAGAAGUUACUGAGUGUCUCUGGGCAUCGGUUUCUUCUACUACAAAAGGGACCUGCAUGGUCUCGUGAGGCCUGGUGCUCUUUCCUGCA
Nannospalax galili (Upper Galilee mountains blind mole rat) is the source of this 661-nucleotide long non-coding RNA. RefSeq lists it as uncharacterized. NCBI's taxonomy places the organism in Eukaryota, Metazoa, Chordata, Mammalia, Rodentia, Spalacidae. The record is from RefSeq and is a predicted model, not a curated record. The transcript has 3 exons.